CAGCCGUAAACUAUGCGCGUUAGGUGUACUGGUGACCACGAGUCACCGGGGUGCCGAAGGGAAACCGUGAAACGUGCCGCCUGGGAAGUACGGUCGCAAGGCUGAAACUUAAAGGAUUGGCGGGGGAGCACCACAACGGGUGGAGCCUGCGGUUUAAUUGGACUCAACGCCGGAAAUCUCACCGGAUAGGACAGACAUAUGAUAGUCGGGCUGAAGACUCUACUUGAUGAUCUGAGAGGAGGUGCAUGGCCGUCAGUGACU
Molecule: ribosomal RNA, 261 nt
Filed under: uncultured archaeon
Lineage: Archaea
Description: partial 16S ribosomal RNA
Rfam family: Archaeal small subunit ribosomal RNA
Source: RNAcentral